Molecule: long non-coding RNA, 990 nt
Organism: Siniperca chuatsi (mandarin fish)
Lineage: Eukaryota; Metazoa; Chordata; Actinopteri; Centrarchiformes; Sinipercidae
Exons: 3
Source: RefSeq, a predicted model, not a curated record
ACAAGAGGGAAGAAGAAACAGAAUAAGCAAAUAAGCAAUGCUAAAAGAAUAAGAGGUCCAGAGCGUGCCACGACGACACGCUGUGGUUCACCGGUGUUAAAGAUACCCUGUGGACUUUUCUGAUACAUUCAGCGUCUCUCACCAAAACACACUGUGUGUAUCCUUGAGGCUGAACAAAUAUGUGGAAUACAUCUCCUUCCUCAUCAUCCUCUUCAUGUGACCAGCGCUGUUCCUGCGGGCUUGAUUUACUGGGAGGACGUACAGGUCAGCAGUGGUGGGGAGGCCCGACUUCACCACUGUAACCAAGGACUCCUGAGGGACACCUGUGAUCUGAUGUCAGAUGGUUAAAGGGCGGUGUGUCUGUGUGAGCUCCACUCACACACAGUGCGGACAGGACGAAGCUGCUCCUUCCCGCAGGGUUGGCUGGAGGUGUGGGCGAUUUAAUUUGUGCUUUACAACGUAAGCGCCAUGAAACAAUCAGAAAAUAACGUUUCAUUUAGCAAAUUCACUGCUUUGUUCUCACCGCUCCCUCUCUUCAUUCAUUCUUUAGCUCUCUCUCGCCCUCUCUCGCCGUUGAGACGGAGAGGAGGGGGCAACGGAAAAAUCUGUAACUGAUAUUUUACACUAACAAUGUUUCAGAUGACUAUGAAAACAAAGAACCUACAGAGAAUCAUCAGCUGAAUCCUGGCGGCUUUACGGAGCUUUAUAGUGAGUUUCAGCUCAUUGUUCAGCUGCAGCAGCAGACACAGUCAGAGAGCAGCUGCUGAACACAGCGGAGCAGCUGAAGAUAUUUUUUUUCUCAGGAGUCGGUGGAGACCAAAGCAGAGCUGAAAGAGAGUGAGUAUUGAGACAAACUCGACUCCAUAGGAAUGAUCAUGUUGCUCUUUAUGUGCUGUCAUUUUUAAAUAGUAAUUAUUUUGUUAACGUGUUAACAACUUUAUAAGGUGAUAAUAUGUAAAUCUUUUGUUUCAGCUUGUUUUGCUGCCCCAA